RNAcentral lists this ribosomal RNA (497 nucleotides) under uncultured bacterium. Its description in RNAcentral is "partial 16S ribosomal RNA". It matches the Rfam family "Bacterial small subunit ribosomal RNA", at positions 28 to 507 of the family's 1533-position model. The record is from RNAcentral.
GAUGAACGCUGGCGGCGUGCCUAAUACAUGCAAGUCGAGCGAACAGACGAGGAGCUUGCUCCUCUGACGUUAGCGGCGGACGGGUGAGUAACACGUGGAUAACCUACCUAUAAGACUGGGAUAAUUUCGGGAAACCGGAGCUCAUACCGGAUAAUAUAUUGAACCGCAUGGUUCAAUAGUGAAAGACGGUUUUGCUGUCACUUAUAGAUGGAUCCGCGCCGCAUUAGCUAGUUGGUAAGGUAACGGCUUACCAAGGCAACGAUGCGUAGCCGACCUGAGAGGGUGAUCGGCCACACUGGAACUGAGACACGGUCCAGACUCCUACGGGAGGCAGCAGUAGGGAAUCUUCCGCAAUGGGCGAAAGCCUGACGGAGCAACGCCGCGUGAGUGAUGAAGGUCUUCGGAUCGUAAAACUCUGUUAUUAGGGAAGAACAAAUGUGUAAGUAACUACGCACGUCUUGACGGUACCUAAUCAGAAAGCCACGGCUAACUACGUG